CGAGCGCAACCCUUGUCCUAGUUACCAGCACGUUAUGGUGGCACUCUAAGGAGACUGCCGGUGGACAACCGGAGGAAGGUGGGGAUGACGUCAAGUCAUCAUGGCCCUUACGGCCUGGGCUACACACGUGCUACAAUGGUCGGUACAAAGGGUUGCCAAGCCGCGAGGUGGAGCUAAUCCCAUAAAACCGAUCGUAGUCCGGAUCGCAGUCUGCAACUCGACUGCGUGAAGUCGGAAUCGCUAGUAAUCGUGAAUCAGAAUGUCACGGUGAAUACGUUCCCGGGCCUU
RNAcentral lists this ribosomal RNA (288 nucleotides) under uncultured Pseudomonas sp. RNAcentral describes it as "partial 16S ribosomal RNA". It matches the Rfam family "Bacterial small subunit ribosomal RNA", at positions 1093 to 1382 of the family's 1533-position model. Lineage: Bacteria; Pseudomonadati; Pseudomonadota; Gammaproteobacteria; Pseudomonadales; Pseudomonadaceae. The record is from RNAcentral.